GUAGGUGGCAAGCGUUGUCCGGAAUUAUUGGGCGUAAAGCGCGCGCAGGCGGUUCUUUAAGUCUGAUGUGAAAGCCCACGGCUCAACCGUGGAGGGUCAUUGGAAACUGGAGAACUUGAGUACAGAAGAGGAAAGCGGAAUUCCACGUGUAGCGGUGAAAUGCGUAGAGAUGUGGAGGAACACCAGUGGCGAAGGCGGCUUUCUGGUCUGUAACUGACGCUGAGGCGCGAAAGCGUGGGGAGCAAACAGGGAUUAGAUACCCUGGUAGUCCACGCCGUAAACGAUGAGUGCUAAGUGUUAGGGGGGGUUUCCGCCCCCUUAGUGCUGCAGCUAACGCAUUAAGCACUCCGCCUGGGGAGUACGGCCGCAAGGCUG
This 375-nucleotide ribosomal RNA is filed under the name uncultured organism. RNAcentral's name for it is "partial 16S ribosomal RNA". It matches the Rfam family "Bacterial small subunit ribosomal RNA", at positions 527 to 896 of the family's 1533-position model. The record is from RNAcentral.